CUUCACUCGUACCUCUCUCUUCCCUAACGCCUCCUCUCACGGUCCUCCUUCUCUUCCUCUCGCCUUCCUAUUACUCCUCUUUUCUCUUCGGUACCCCAAACUACUUCCCCAUCUUCCUCCUGUCUUCUACUUCCUCUUCUCCCUACCCUCGUUCCUUACAGGACGCUUGUAAUUCUGCACAUCUGUUUCUUGGUUCUUUCUCUCUUCUUGUUAUGCAAUGAACUAGUGUCACAAC
RNAcentral lists this small RNA (235 nucleotides) under Cryptococcus neoformans H99. RNAcentral's name for it is "Cryptococcus neoformans var. grubii H99 hypothetical RNA". Lineage: Eukaryota; Fungi; Basidiomycota; Tremellomycetes; Tremellales; Cryptococcaceae. The record is from RNAcentral.